RNAcentral lists this ribosomal RNA (533 nucleotides) under uncultured bacterium. Its description in RNAcentral is "bacterial SSU rRNA". It matches the Rfam family "Bacterial small subunit ribosomal RNA", at positions 539 to 1070 of the family's 1533-position model. The record is from RNAcentral.
CGUUGUCCGGAUUAUUGGGCGUAAAGAGCUUGUAGGCGGUUUGUCGCGUCUGCUGUGAAAGGCCGGAGCUUAACUCCGUGUAUUGCAGUGGGUACGGGCAGACUAGAGUGCAGUAGGGGGGACUGGAAUUCCUGGUGUAGCGGUGGAAUGCGCAGAUAUCAGAAGGAACACCGAUGGCGAAGGCAGGUCUCUGGGCUGUAACUGACGCUGAGAAGCGAAAGCAUGGGGAGCGAACAGGAUUAGAUACCCUGGUAGUCCAUGCCGUAAACGUUGGGCACUAGGUGUGGGGGACAUUCCACGUUUUCCGCGCCGUAGCUAACGCAUUAAGUGCCCCGCCUGGGGAGUACGGCCGCAAGGCUAAAACUCAAAGAAAUUGACGGGGGCCCGCACAAGCGGCGGAGCAUGCGGAUUAAUUCGAUGCAACGCGAAGAACCUUACCAAGGCUUGACAUAUACUGGACCGCAUCAGAGAUGGUGUUUCCCUUCGGGGCUGGUAUACAGGUGGUGCAUGGUUGUCGUCAGCUCGUGUCGUGA